RNAcentral lists this ribosomal RNA (447 nucleotides) under uncultured bacterium. Its description in RNAcentral is "partial 16S ribosomal RNA". It matches the Rfam family "Bacterial small subunit ribosomal RNA", at positions 329 to 793 of the family's 1533-position model. The record is from RNAcentral.
GACCAGACUCCUACGGGAGGCAGCAGUGGGGAAUAUUGCACAAUGGGGGAAACCCUGAUGCAGCGACGCCGCGUGAGUGAAGAAGUAUUUCGGUAUGUAAAGCUCUAUCAGCAGGGAAGAAAAUGACGGUACCUGACCAAGAAGCCCCGGCUAACUACGUGCCAGCAGCCGCGGUAAUACGUGGGGGGCAAGCGUUAUCCGGAUUUACUGGGUGUAAAGGGAGCGUAGACGGCUGAGCAAGUCAGAAGUGAAAGCCCGGGGCUCAACCCCGGGACUGCUUUUGAAACUGCGGAGCUGGAGUGCAGGAGAGGUAAGCGGAAUUCCUGGUGUAGCGGUGAAAUGCGUAGAUAUCAGGAGGAACACCAGUGGCGAAGGCGGCUUACUGGACUGCAACUGACGUUGAGGCUCGAAAGCGUGGGGAGCAAACAGGAUUAGAUACCCUAGUAA